GAUGAACGCUGACAGAAUGCUUAACACAUGCAAGUCUAUGAGAAGAUCUACUUCGGUAGAAGGUAUCAUGGCGGACGGGUGAGUAACGCGUAAAGAACUUGCCUCUUAGACUGGGAUAACAGAUGGAAACGUCUGAUAAGACUAGAUAUAAUAGCGACAUGGCAUCAUGUUGUUAUGAAAGGUAACACUAAGAGAGAGCUUUGCGUCCUAUUAGUUAGUUGGUGAGGUAAUGGCUCACCAAGACGAUGAUAGGUAGCCGGCCUGAGAGGGUGAACGGCCACAAGGGGACUGAGAUACGGCCCUUACUCUUACGGGAGGCAGCAGUGGGGAAUAUUGGACAAUGGAGGAAACUCUGAUCCAGCAAUUCUGUGUGCACGAUGAAGGUUUUCGGAUCGUAAAGUGCUUUCAGUAGGGAAGAAGAAAGUGACGGUACCUACAGAAGAAGCGACGGCUAAAUACGUGCCAGCAGCCGCGGUAAACUCGU
RNAcentral lists this ribosomal RNA (484 nucleotides) under uncultured bacterium. RNAcentral's name for it is "bacterial SSU rRNA". It matches the Rfam family "Bacterial small subunit ribosomal RNA", at positions 28 to 528 of the family's 1533-position model. The record is from RNAcentral.